RNAcentral lists this ribosomal RNA (291 nucleotides) under uncultured bacterium. RNAcentral describes it as "partial 16S ribosomal RNA". It matches the Rfam family "Archaeal small subunit ribosomal RNA", at positions 457 to 747 of the family's 1478-position model. The record is from RNAcentral.
UGCAGCAGCCGCGGUAAUACCGGCAGCCCGAGUGAUGGCCGAUAUUAUUGGGCCUAAAGCGUCCGUAGCUGGCCGAACAAGUCCGUCGGGAAAUCCACGUGCUUAACACGUGGGCGACCGGCGGAAACUGUUCGGCUUGGGGCCGGAGGACCCGAGGGGUACGUCGGGGGUAGGAGUGAAAUCCCGAGAUCCUCGACGGACCGCCGGUGGCGAAAGCGCCUCGGGAAGAUGGAUCCGACGGUCAGGGACGAAAGCUUGGGUCUCGAACCGGAUUAGAAACCCCGGUAGUCC